RNAcentral lists this ribosomal RNA (500 nucleotides) under uncultured soil bacterium. Its description in RNAcentral is "bacterial SSU rRNA". It matches the Rfam family "Bacterial small subunit ribosomal RNA", at positions 26 to 525 of the family's 1533-position model. The record is from RNAcentral.
AGAUUGAACGCUGGCGGCAUGCUUUACACAUGCAAGUCGAACGGUAACAGGCCGCAAGGUGCUGACGAGUGGCGAACGGGUGAGUAAUGCAUCGGAACGUGCCCAGUCGUGGGGGAUAACGCAGCGAAAGCUGUGCUAAUACCGCAUACGAUCUAUGGAUGAAAGCGGGGGACCGAAAGGCCUCGCGCGAUUGGAGCGGCCGAUGUCAGGUUAGCUAGUUGGUGGGGUAAAGGCCCACCAAGGCGACGAUCUGUAGCUGGUCUGAGAGGACGACCAGCCACACUGGAACUGAGACACGGUCCAGACUCCUACGGGAGGCAGCAGUGGGGAAUUUUGGACAAUGGGCGCAAGCCUGAUCCAGCAAUGCCGCGUGCAGGAAGAAGGCCUUCGGUUGUAAACUGCUUUUGUACGGAACGAAACGGUCUGGUUAAUACCUCGGACUAAUGACGGUACCGUAAGAAUAAGACACCGGCUAACUACGUGCCAGCAGCCGCGUAACG